Molecule: non-coding RNA, 23 nt
Filed under: Arabidopsis thaliana (thale cress)
Lineage: Eukaryota; Viridiplantae; Streptophyta; Magnoliopsida; Brassicales; Brassicaceae
Source: RNAcentral
UCGCCAACAUUCUUCUCCCCUGC